UACGGAAUGUGCAAACGUUAUUCGGAAUCACUGGGCUUAAAGAGUCCGUAGGCGGCGCGGAAAGUUGGGUGUGAAAUCCCUCGGCUCAACCGAGGAAUUGCGCCCAAAACUUCCGUGCUCGAGGAAGAUAGAGGUGAGCGGAACUUAGGGUGGAGCGGUGAAAUGCGUUGAUAUCCUAAGGAACACCGGUGGCAAAAGCGGCUCACUGGAUCUUUUCUGACGCUGAGGCACAAAAGCUAGGGUAGCGAACGGG
RNAcentral lists this unclassified non-coding RNA (253 nucleotides) under uncultured Pirellulaceae bacterium. RNAcentral describes it as "contains 16S-23S intergenic spacer region". It matches the Rfam family "Bacterial small subunit ribosomal RNA", at positions 524 to 776 of the family's 1533-position model. Lineage: Bacteria; Pseudomonadati; Planctomycetota; Planctomycetia; Pirellulales; Pirellulaceae. The record is from RNAcentral.